RNAcentral lists this transfer RNA (64 nucleotides) under marine eukaryotic metagenome. It matches the Rfam family "tRNA", at positions 6 to 65 of the family's 71-position model. From Rfam's summary of the family: Transfer RNA (tRNA) molecules are approximately 80 nucleotides in length. Their secondary structure includes four short double-helical elements and three loops (D, anti-codon, and T loops). Further hydrogen bonds mediate the characteristic L-shaped molecular structure. tRNAs have two regions of fundamental functional importance: the anti-codon, which is responsible for specific mRNA codon recognition, and the 3' end, to which the tRNAs corresponding amino acid is attached (by aminoacyl-tRNA synthetases). tRNAs cope with the degeneracy of the genetic code in two manners: having more than one tRNA (with a specific anti-codon) for a particular amino acid; and 'wobble' base-pairing, i.e. permitting non-standard base-pairing at the 3rd anti-codon position. The record is from RNAcentral.
CUUUAGCUCAGCUGGUUAGAGCAUCUGACUGUUAAUCAGAGGGUCCAAGGUUCGAGUCCUUGAA